UACGUAGGUGGCGAGCGUUAUUCGGAAUCACUGGGCAUAAAGCGCGUGUAGGCGGCCGCGCAAGUCGGGUGUGAAAUCCCACGGCUCAACCGUGGAACUGCGCCCGAUACUGCAUGGCUCGAGGCUGGUAGGGGAGAGUGGAAUUCCUGGUGGAGCGGUGAAAUGCGUUGAUAUCAGGAGGAACGCCGGCGGCGAAAGCGGCUCUCUGGUCCAGUUCUGACGCUGAGACGCGAAAGCCAGGGGAGCAAACGGG
RNAcentral lists this ribosomal RNA (253 nucleotides) under uncultured bacterium. RNAcentral describes it as "partial 16S ribosomal RNA". It matches the Rfam family "Bacterial small subunit ribosomal RNA", at positions 524 to 776 of the family's 1533-position model. The record is from RNAcentral.